UACGUAGGGUGCAAGCGUUGCCCGGAUUUAUUGGGCGUAAAGGGCGCGUAGGCGGCUCGGCACGUCCGUUGUGAAAUCGCCCGGCUCAACUGGGCGGGGUCAGCGGAUACGGUCGAGCUUGAGCAAGCUAGGGGGCAAUGGAAUUCCCGGUGUAGUGGUGGAAUGCGUAGAUAUCGGGAGGAAUACCAGUGGCGAAGGCGGCCUUCUGGACGGAUACUGACGCUGAGGCGCGAAAGCCAGGGGAGCAAACGGG
This 253-nucleotide ribosomal RNA is filed under the name uncultured bacterium. Its description in RNAcentral is "partial 16S ribosomal RNA". It matches the Rfam family "Bacterial small subunit ribosomal RNA", at positions 524 to 776 of the family's 1533-position model. The record is from RNAcentral.